RNAcentral lists this ribosomal RNA (253 nucleotides) under uncultured bacterium. Its description in RNAcentral is "partial 16S ribosomal RNA". It matches the Rfam family "Bacterial small subunit ribosomal RNA", at positions 524 to 776 of the family's 1533-position model. The record is from RNAcentral.
UACGUAGGGGGCUAGCGUUGUCCGGAUUUAUUGGGCGUAAAGAGCGUGUAGGCGGCCAGGUAGGUCUGCUGUGAAAACUCGAGGCUUAACCUCGAGAUGUCGGCGGAAACCAUCUGGCUAGAGUCCGGAAGAGGAGAGCGGAAUUCCUGGUGUAGCGGUGAAAUGCGCAGAUAUCAGGAAGAACACCUAUGGCGAAGGCAGCUCUCUGGGACGGUACUGACGCUGAGACGCGAAAGCGUGGGGAGCGAACAGG